UUAAAACCAUGCCCUAUAGCCUUAUGGUUCUUAUGUUGUGGAUUCCUUCUCUGCUGCAUCUAAGUCAGAGAACUCUUGUUUCUCUGCUUUGGUUAUAUGCAUAUUUCAAGAUUGGUUAAUGCUAUCUUACCUGCAUGGUAGUUCUUGCAGUAGAAUCUACAUAUCACUGAAUUUAGCUCCAUUGUUAUGUAUUCAUAACUCUAAACUAUCCAUAAUUGUUUAUCUACUUAUAUCCAUGUUUAUUUACAGAACAAUGUUAUUUCCAGUAGCACAAUUAUCUUUAUUCCUAAAAGAGCUGCUCGAGUACAAAUCAACUAUGUUACAUUGUUUCUUCUUUGGCUGCUGGGAAUUUCUUACAUGGUUUAGUAGAGAUGGUACAUGGUUCAUGUGCAUGAUAAAAGGACGACUGCCUGGGUUACUUCUGAAACUAUGAGAUCAUUUUGUGCUUGCUAUAGAGUGGUUAUCACUGAAGAAGGGAGCCAAUGGUUCAAAGUAAGUGCAUCAAAAUGCCAUCCUUCUUAGUGUCGUCAGACACGUGUAGGUCGAGGGCUAAACGAUACGCUGAAACCAUGGCCUUCAUUGCGACUCUUGGGCAUCCCUACAUGCCGGAUUCACUAUCCAUGAAACACACACUUCAUGCUUUGAUGAUGACUGACUUCAUGGGGGAAAUAUCGCGUAUGCGGCUGAAGUAUGCUACAUGUGCUGCUACUAUCCGUCAUGAAGAAGAGAAGAUGAUGCUGGAACUGUUAACCUCCGCUCCACACGAGCCCAACCGAGGAGAAUGAGCGGUUCAACGGUGUGACAAUACACGCUGAAGAAGUUAUAGUGGUAGUGUUUAGUGUUGUGUUAAACUGAUAGAAUAUCAUCUAUCUCUUGAUCAUCUAUCUAUCGUAAGAUUUGUACUCAGAAUCAUCAAUAUUUUGUAGGCAUGAUGUAUGGAAGUAUUAUCAUGUCUCC
This is a long non-coding RNA of Lolium perenne, 957 nucleotides long. RefSeq lists it as uncharacterized. Lineage: Eukaryota; Viridiplantae; Streptophyta; Magnoliopsida; Poales; Poaceae. The record is from RefSeq and is a predicted model, not a curated record.